UCGACGGGAGGAAAAGAGAAGCUUGCUUCUUUUUGAAUCUAGUGGCAAACGGGUGAGUAACACGUAAACAACCUGCCUUCAGGAUGGGGACAACAGACGGAAACGACUGCUAAUACCGAAUGUGUUCCGGAGACCGCAUGAUUUCCGGAAGAAAGGAUGGCCUCUAUUUAUAAGCUAUCGCCUGAAGAGGGGUUUGCGUCUGAUUAGGCAGUUGGUGAGGUAACGGCCCACCAAACCUACGAUCAGUAGCCGGUCUGAGAGGAUGAACGGCCACACUGGAACUGAGACACGGUCCAGACUCCUACGGGAGGCAGCAGUGGGGAAUCUUCCGCAAUGGACGAAAGUCUGACGGAGCAACGCCGCGUGAGUGAUGACGGCCUUCGGGUUGUAAAGCUCUGUGAUCGGGGACGAAUGGCUGGUAUGCUAAUACCAUAUCAGAGUGACGGUACCCGAAUAGCAAGCCACGGCUAACUACGUGCCAGCAGCCGCGGUAAUACGUAGGUGGCAAGCGUUGUCCGGAAUUAUUGGGCGUAAAGCGCGCGCAGGCGGCUUCUUAAGUCCAUCUUAAAAGUGCGGGGCUUAACCCCGUGAUGGGAUGGAAACUGGGAGGCUGGAGUAUCGGAGAGGAAAGUGGAAUUCCUAGUGUAGCGG
RNAcentral lists this ribosomal RNA (651 nucleotides) under uncultured bacterium. RNAcentral describes it as "bacterial SSU rRNA". It matches the Rfam family "Bacterial small subunit ribosomal RNA", at positions 62 to 681 of the family's 1533-position model. The record is from RNAcentral.